UCGGAGUUCUCAAAGGAUGCCGGAUCGGUUUUUCAAGGAAACAAAUUCUCCGACGGCAGCCAUUGGCAGUUCCUAUAUAUGGAGUAGAGCACGAAGCAGACAAAUGAAAUGAAGCAGUCACCUGCUAACUUUUAAACGCUUAAGGAUAUCAGAAUAGAAGAAGGAAGAACGACUGGUUUGUCGUGGAUGUGAGGUGAAACAUCAACUUGGGAGUGGAUGGAUUGAAGAAAUUUGAGGACCAAGUAAGUUUAAAUGCAUGUGCUUUCUUAUAUUUUGAACUAUUAUAUGAAAAUAACAGAUACAGCUUCCUUUUUCUAAUACAAUUGAUCUCAUAAUGAGCCGAACUUGUAUACUGAGCUGUCUUGGGAAUGAUUGUGAACUGCCUGGUAUGCUGAUGAUAAUGAAUCACUGAAAGUAACUCUUCGCAUUCACAUUUUAAGUAUUCUGAAUUUCAAUGUGGUUAUAACCGUUAUAGAACUCUCAGUGAGCAAGUGUUUUUU
Molecule: long non-coding RNA, 500 nt
Organism: Rosa rugosa (rugosa rose)
Lineage: Eukaryota; Viridiplantae; Streptophyta; Magnoliopsida; Rosales; Rosaceae
Exons: 3
Source: RefSeq, a predicted model, not a curated record